GGUGGAGUAUCCAAGUGGUCAAAGGACGUUGACUGUAAAUCAAUUCGGCUCUUGCCGUUCACUGGUUCGACUCCAGUCUCCACCACCA
RNAcentral lists this transfer RNA (88 nucleotides) under Lacunisphaera limnophila. RNAcentral describes it as "tRNA-Tyr". It matches the Rfam family "tRNA". From Rfam's summary of the family: Transfer RNA (tRNA) molecules are approximately 80 nucleotides in length. Their secondary structure includes four short double-helical elements and three loops (D, anti-codon, and T loops). The record is from RNAcentral. RNAcentral also lists the same sequence under 2 other names. Lineage: Bacteria; Pseudomonadati; Verrucomicrobiota; Opitutia; Opitutales; Opitutaceae.